UGCGGAAGGAUCAUUACCGAGUGCGGGCCCUCGUGGCCCAACCUCCCACCCUUGUCUCUAUACACCUGUUGCUUUGGCGGGCCCACCGGGGCCACCUGGUCGCCGGGGGACAUCUGUCCCCGGGCCCGCGCCCGCCGAAGCGCUCUGUGAACCCUGAUGAAGAUGGGCUGUCUGAGUACUAUGAAAAUUGUCAAAACUUUCAACAAUGGAUCUCUUGGUUCCGGCAUCGAUGAAGAACGCAGCGAAAUGCGAUAAGUAAUGUGAAUUGCAGAAUUCCGUGAAUCAUCGAAUCUUUGAACGCACAUUGCGCCCCCUGGCAUUCCGGGGGGCAUGCCUGUCCGAGCGUCAUUUCUGCCCUCAAGCACGGCUUGUGUGUUGGGUGCGGUCCCCCCGGGGACCUGCCCGAAAGGCAGCGGCGACGUCCGUCUGGUCCUCGAGCGUAUGGGGCUUUGUCACUCGCUCGGGAAGGACUGGCGGGGGUUGGUCACCACCAAAAUUUUACCACGGUUGACCUCGGAUCAGGUAGGAGUUACCCGCUGAACUUAAGCAUAUCAAUAAGCGGAGGAAAAGAAACCAACCGGGAUUGCCUCAGUAACGGCGAGUGAAGCGGCAAGAGCU
This 618-nucleotide ribosomal RNA is filed under the name fungal endophyte. Its description in RNAcentral is "eukaryotic LSU rRNA". The stretch from base 195 to 348 matches the Rfam family "5.8S ribosomal RNA". The record is from RNAcentral. Lineage: Eukaryota; Fungi.